Molecule: long non-coding RNA, 343 nt
Organism: Papaver somniferum (opium poppy)
Lineage: Eukaryota; Viridiplantae; Streptophyta; Magnoliopsida; Ranunculales; Papaveraceae
Exons: 3
Source: RefSeq, a predicted model, not a curated record
AGUAGUAGUGGAAGUCACUUGGCUAGUACAUAUGGUGGAUUAGCAAUUUUGAAGCUAGUUGGGGAUGACUUGGAAAUUAUUGAUACUGAAUCUAUGUUAAUCACGAUGAAACAUCUUUAGCAACCUGAUGGGAGUUUUAUACUGUUCAUACUAGUGCAAGAGAAGGACCUCCAAUUUGUAUAUGGGCUGCUGCGUUAACUUCUUUGUUGAGCGAAUGAAUGACAGUAUUUCGUUUCACUAUCACUCAAUUGAUGGCGAGCUCAACUCACUGCAUUACUACUUGCAUUUCCAGAAGAUAUAAUCUUUGAGAAUUGAGAUUUUGGCAAGGCUGAAAACGAAUGCA